GUUGACCUCGGAUCAGGUAGGAAUACCCGCUGAACUUAAGCAUAUCAAUAAGCGGAGGAAAAGAAACCAACAGGGAUUGCCCCAGUAACGGCGAGUGAAGCGGCAACAGCUCAAAUUUGAAAUCUGGCCCCAGGCCCGAGUUGUAAUUUGCAGAGGAUGCUUUUGGCGCGGUGCCUUCCGAGUUCCCUGGAACGGGACGCCAUAGAGGGUGAGAGCCCCGUACGGUUGGACACCAAGCCUUUGUAAAGCUCCUUCGACGAGUCGAGUAGUUUGGGAAUGCUGCUCUAAAUGGGAGGUACAUUUCUUCUAAAGCUAAAUAUUGGCCAGAGACCGAUAGCGCACAAGUAGAGUGAUCGAAAGAUGAAAAGCACUUUGGAAAGAGGGUUAAACAGCACGUGAAAUUGUUAAAAGGGAAGCGCUUGUGACCAGACUUGCGUCCGGUGAAUCACCCAGCUCUCGCGGCUGGGGCACUUCGCCGGCACAGGCCAGCAUCAGCUUGCCGUCGGGGACAAAAGCUUCAGGAACGUGGCUCCUCUCGGGGAGUGUUAUAGCCUGUUGCAUAAUACCCUUCGGCGGGCUGAGGUACGCGCUCCGCAAGGAUGCUGGCGUAAUGGUCAUCAGCGAC
RNAcentral lists this ribosomal RNA (625 nucleotides) under Colletotrichum lupini. Its description in RNAcentral is "eukaryotic LSU rRNA". It matches the Rfam family "Eukaryotic large subunit ribosomal RNA", at positions 1 to 648 of the family's 3401-position model. Lineage: Eukaryota; Fungi; Ascomycota; Sordariomycetes; Glomerellales; Glomerellaceae. The record is from RNAcentral.